UACGGAGGAUCCAAGCGUUAUCCGGAAUUACUGGGCGUAAAGAGUUGCGUAGGUGGCAUUGUAAGUAAGUAGUGAAAGCGUGGGGCUCAACCCCAUAAACAUUAUUUAAACUGCAAAGCUAGAGAAUGAGAGAGGUGGCUGGAAUUCCCUGUGUAGGAGUGAAAUCCGUAGAUAUAGGGAGGAACACCGAUGGCGUAGGCAGGCCACUGGCUCAUUUCUGACACUAAGGCACGAAAGCGUGGGUAGCAAACGGG
RNAcentral lists this ribosomal RNA (254 nucleotides) under uncultured bacterium. Its description in RNAcentral is "partial 16S ribosomal RNA". It matches the Rfam family "Bacterial small subunit ribosomal RNA", at positions 524 to 776 of the family's 1533-position model. The record is from RNAcentral.